AGGGUUCGAUUCUGGCUCAGGAUGAACGCUAGCGGCAGGCUUAACACAUGCAAGUCGAGGGGCAGCGCGGGGUAGCAAUACUCUGGCGGCGACCGGCGAAAGGGUGAGUAACGCGUGAGCAACAUGCCCGGUACCGGGGGAUAGUCGAUGGAAACGUCGUGUAAUACCCCGUAACAACAGAGGCCGCAUGACCUUUGUUUAAGAGAUUUAUCGCUACCGGAUUGGCUCGCGUCCCAUUAGGCAGUUGGCGGGGUAACGGCCCACCAAACCGACGAUGGGUAGGGGUUCUGAGAGGAAGGUCCCCCCACAUUGGAACUGAGACACGGUCCAGACUCCUACGGGAGGCAGCAGUGAGGAAUAUUGGACAAUGGCCGAGAGGCUGAUCCAGCCAUGCCGCGUGCGGGAGGACGGCCCCUAUGGGUUGUAAACCGCUUUUGUUGGAGAGCAAUAAGGUCCACGUGUGGAUCGAUGAGAGUAUCCAGCGAAUAAGCAUCGGCUAACUCCGUGCCAGCAGCCGC
This 518-nucleotide ribosomal RNA is filed under the name uncultured bacterium. RNAcentral describes it as "bacterial SSU rRNA". It matches the Rfam family "Bacterial small subunit ribosomal RNA", at positions 8 to 518 of the family's 1533-position model. The record is from RNAcentral.